Macrobrachium nipponense is the source of this 354-nucleotide long non-coding RNA. RefSeq lists it as uncharacterized. NCBI's taxonomy places the organism in Eukaryota, Metazoa, Arthropoda, Malacostraca, Decapoda, Palaemonidae. The transcript has 3 exons. The record is from RefSeq and is a predicted model, not a curated record.
GACUGCCUGGCUGCGGCAAGUUGAAACUGACGAUAAGUGAUUCGGAAUCGGUAUUCGGUAACUGAUUUCCAAGUGCAACUUCCAACUACUGUGGCGUGUUGUCUAUGAGACCUGGUUGCAAGAUUGAAGGUUCGUUAUCCUGGUUGCAAGACUGAAGGCAUGAGGUGGGUUUCUGCAGGUUUUGACUGAAUCACAGACUUUGAAGGAAGGCAAAUGGACGUUGUGCACGAAGAUUGCGGACGGUCUGGAACAUGUCAACAACUCCCUCGUACUGCAUGCGCUCAAGAACUUGACUCAGCGUAAUAAAUACUCCAGUGCGACCAACACCCGCGCUAGAAAUUCAGAAUAACAAUU